This 440-nucleotide ribosomal RNA is filed under the name uncultured bacterium. RNAcentral describes it as "bacterial SSU rRNA". It matches the Rfam family "Bacterial small subunit ribosomal RNA", at positions 355 to 796 of the family's 1533-position model. The record is from RNAcentral.
UGGGGAAUAUUGCGCAAUGGCCGAAAGGCUGACGCAGCGACGCCGCGUGGGGGAGGAAGGUCUUCGGAUUGUAAACCCCUGUUGCCCGGGACGAAUCCUGGUUUAAACCAGAUUGACGGUACCGGGUGAGGAAGCACCGGCUAACUCUGUGCCAGCAGCCGCGGUAAUACAGAGGGUGCGAGCGUUGUCCGGAAUCACUGGGCGUAAAGGGCGCGUAGGUGGCUUGCCAAGCGUGUGGUGAAAGCCCGGAGCUCAACUCCGGGUCUGCCAUGCGAACUGGCAGGCUAGAGCACGGUAGAGGCCAAUGGAAUUCCGGGUGUAGCGGUGGAAUGCGUAGAGAUCCGGAAGAACACCGGUGGCGAAGGCGGUUGGCUGGGCCGUUGCUGACACUGAUGCGCGACAGCGUGGGGAGCAAACAGGAUUAGAUACCCCUGUAGUCC